CACGACUUCAGACUCAUCAACAAG
RNAcentral lists this non-coding RNA (24 nucleotides) under Arabidopsis thaliana (thale cress). Lineage: Eukaryota; Viridiplantae; Streptophyta; Magnoliopsida; Brassicales; Brassicaceae. The record is from RNAcentral.